RNAcentral lists this ribosomal RNA (253 nucleotides) under uncultured bacterium. RNAcentral's name for it is "partial 16S ribosomal RNA". It matches the Rfam family "Bacterial small subunit ribosomal RNA", at positions 524 to 776 of the family's 1533-position model. The record is from RNAcentral.
UACAGAGGGUGCAAGCGUUAAUCGGAUUUACUGGGCGUAAAGCGUGCGUAGGCGGUUACGUAAGUCGGAUGUGAAAUCCCUGGGCUUAACCUGGGAACUGCAUUCGAUACUGCGUGGCUAGAGUACGGUAGAGGGAGGCGGAACUCCGGGUGUAGCGGUGAAAUGCGUAGAUAUCCGGAAGAACACCGAUGGCGAAGGCAACCUCCUGGGCCUGUACUGACGCUGAGGUACGAAAGCGUGGGGAGCAAACAGG